This 318-nucleotide long non-coding RNA is filed under the name Lathyrus oleraceus (garden pea). Its description in RNAcentral is "Pisum sativum (pea) long non-coding RNA (PSAT_LNC009008)". Lineage: Eukaryota; Viridiplantae; Streptophyta; Magnoliopsida; Fabales; Fabaceae. The record is from RNAcentral.
AGCCGAUUGGCCCCCUUUAUUUCUUUUUUUGUUUGUUUAUAAUUUGUUUUAUUAUUAUUAAUAAUUAUUUUUAUAUAUAGUUUUUUCUUAUUUGUUUAUUUGUUGUUUAUUUAAAUAUAAUUGAUUUUUGAAUUAGAUUUUAAGCACUCAUAUUAUGCACACUUUUUUAAUGUUUUAUUUAUUCUUAAUUUUGUUUAUUGUAUUUUGUUCUUUGUUUUUUAAAUUAUUUUAUUUGAGAUUUUAUUUACUUUUUAUUCUUAUUAUGAAUAUGAAGAUUUGACUUUUAUUCUUUAUAUUAAAACUCAUUAAUUAUUUGUG